GGUGAACGCUGGCGGCGUGCCUAAUACAUGCAAGUCGAGCGAACAGACGAGGAGCUUGCUCCUCUGACGUUAGCGGCGGACGGGUGAGUAACACGUGGAUAACCUACCUAUAAGACUGGGAUAACUUCGGGAAACCGGAGCUAAUACCGGAUAAUAUAUUGAACCGCAUGGUUCAAUAGUGAAAGACGGUUUUGCUGUCACUUAUAGAUGGAUCCGCGCCGCAUUAGCUAGUUGGUAAGGUAACGGCUUACCAAGGCGACGAUGCGUAGCCGACCUGAGAGGGGGAUCGGCCACACUGGAACUGAGACACGGUCCAGACUCCUACGGGAGGCAGCAGUAGGGAAUCUUCCGCAAUGGGCGAAAGCCUGACGGAGCAACGCCGCGUGAGUGAUGAAGGUCUUCGGAUCGUAAAACUCUGUUAUUAGGGAAGAACAAAUGUGUAAGUAACUAUGCACGUCUUGACGGUACCUAAUCAGAAAGCCACGGCUAACUACGUG
Molecule: ribosomal RNA, 497 nt
Filed under: uncultured bacterium
Lineage: Bacteria
Description: partial 16S ribosomal RNA
Rfam family: Bacterial small subunit ribosomal RNA
Source: RNAcentral